GUGGCUCUAGACUUCCUUUUGAGACACCUUAAACACCUGGCGACAGCCACCAGUGGAAAGACCAAAAAAAAAGAAGUGAUGAAACUGGCCCACAGAAGAGGUCGCUGAGAUGUGUGGUCAUCAGGCUAAGGGGCUCUGGGAUGGGCAUUCCCCCACCCCAACCCCUGGCUGUCCCCUUCCUCAGUCCGAGGGAAGGGUCUCCCCUUCAACCAGCUCAGAGUUCAGCUUAGUUCUUGACUCGGGUCUCAUCUCCAGGGGCUGUGGAUCACAGUGCUGGGUCCUUGGCCGUGGUGAGUUCCAGUGCUGGAGCUAGGGCCUGGCAGGACUGAGGACGAAGUAAAGCUCUACCUCUCAGAAGUGACGGCCUCAACAAGACUUACCCUCGAAGCUGUGCUGCUGAGGACACGUGGCACAGGGGUUGCACGGUCAGCUUUUAAUGCAAUGUGCGGUGAUGCAGAUCCUGUCCCUGGACAACCUUUUUUUGAGGCGACUAUCCUGCUACCCUCUACGUUUCGGUUUGCCUUCACUGGUUCUCUAACUUUCUGAGUCUUUGUUUUAGUCAAGUGUGUAAAUAUCAGGAUCUGGUAAGAGAUGCUUCCUACUCUCCCCUCCCCUGCAGGCCCCUUCUCCUCCCCUCCCUCAAUGAAAAGUGACAGUCAGGGCUGGUGUCUGCCUGGCUUAAUAUGAAUGCUGAGACUUGUAAAAUCA
Molecule: long non-coding RNA, 708 nt
Filed under: Equus asinus (donkey)
Lineage: Eukaryota; Metazoa; Chordata; Mammalia; Perissodactyla; Equidae
Description: lncRNA (ENSEASG00005035584.1)
Source: RNAcentral